UAGAGUUUGAUCCUGGCUCAGGACGAACGCUGGCGGCGUGCCUAAUACAUGCAAGUCGAGCGGUCCCUUCGGGGAUAGCGGCGGACGGGUGAGUAACACGUAGGCAACCUGCNNNCAAGACCGGGAUAACUAUCGGAAACGAUAGCUAAGACCGGAUAGCUGGUUUUCUCGCAUGAGAGAAUCAUGAAACACGGAGCAAUCUGUGGCUUGAAGAUGGGCCUGCGGCGCAUUAGCUAGUUGGUAGGGUAACGGCCUACCAAGGCGACGAUGCGUAGCCGACCUGAGAGGGUGAACGGCCACACUGGGACUGAGACACGGCCCAGACUCCUACGGGAGGCAGCAGUAGGGAAUCUUCCGCAAUGGACGCAAGUCUGACGGAGCAACGCCGCGUGAGUGAUGAAGGUUUUCGGAUCGUAAAGCUCUGUUGCCCUAGACGAACAGCAAGGCGAGUAACUGCGCUUUGUGUGACGGUAUAGGAGAAGAAAGCCCCGGCUAACUACGUGCCAGCAGCCGCGGUAAUACGUAGGGGGCAAGCGUUGUCCGGAAUUAUUGGGCGUAAAGCGCGCGCAGGCGGUUCGUUAAGUUGGGUGUUUAAGCCCGGGGCUCAACCCCGGUUCGCAUCCAAAACUGGCGAACUUGAGUGUAGGAGAGGAAAGUGGAAUUCCACGUGUAGCGGUGAAAUGCGUAGAGAUGUGGAGGAACACCAGUGGCGAAGGCGACUUUCUGGCCUAUAACUGACGCUGAGGC
RNAcentral lists this ribosomal RNA (747 nucleotides) under bacterium enrichment culture clone PA_70. RNAcentral describes it as "bacterial SSU rRNA". It matches the Rfam family "Bacterial small subunit ribosomal RNA", at positions 1 to 752 of the family's 1533-position model. The record is from RNAcentral.